This 936-nucleotide ribosomal RNA is filed under the name Aspergillus niger. RNAcentral describes it as "LSU rRNA". It matches the Rfam family "Eukaryotic large subunit ribosomal RNA", at positions 49 to 1000 of the family's 3401-position model. The record is from RNAcentral. Lineage: Eukaryota; Fungi; Ascomycota; Eurotiomycetes; Eurotiales; Aspergillaceae.
UACGGAGGAAAAGAAACCAACCGGGAUUGCCUCAGUAACGGCGAGUGAAGCGGCAAGAGCUCAAAUUUGAAAGCUGGCUCCUUCGGAGUCCGCAUUGUAAUUUGCAGAGGAUGCUUUGGGUGCGGCCCCCGUCUAAGUGCCCUGGAACGGGCCGUCAGAGAGGGUGAGAAUCCCGUCUUGGGCGGGGUGUCCGUGCCCGUGUAAAGCUCCUUCGACGAGUCGAGUUGUUUGGGAAUGCAGCUCUAAAUGGGUGGUAAAUUUCAUCUAAAGCUAAAUACUGGCCGGAGACCGAUAGCGCACAAGUAGAGUGAUCGAAAGAUGAAAAGCACUUUGAAAAGAGAGUUAAACAGCACGUGAAAUUGUUGAAAGGGAAGCGCUUGCGACCAGACUCGCCCGCGGGGUUCAGCCGGCAUUCGUGCCGGUGUACUUCCCCGUGGGCGGGCCAGCGUCGGUUUGGGCGGCCGGUCAAAGGCCCCUGGAAUGUAGUACCCUCCGGGGUACCUUAUAGCCAGGGGUGCAAUGCGGCCAGCCUGGACCGAGGAACGCGCUUCGGCACGGACGCUGGCAUAAUGGUCGUAAACGACCCGUCUGAAACACGGACCAAGGAGUCUAAACAUCUACGCGAGUGUUCGGGUGUCAAACCCGUGCGCGCAGUGAAAGCGAACGGAGGUGGGAGCCCCCUCGCGGGGCGCACCAUCGACCGAUCCUGAUGUCUUCGGAUGGAUUUGAGUAAGAGCGUAAAUGUGGGGACCCGAAAGAUGGUGAACUAUGCCUGAAUAGGGCGAAGCCAGAGGAAACUCUGGUGGAGGCUCGCAGCGGUUCUGACGUGCAAAUCGAUCGUCAAAUUUGGGUAUAGGGGCGAAAGACUAAUCGAACCAUCUAGUAGCUGGUUCCUGCCGAAGUUUCCCUCAGGAUAGCAGUAACGCAAAAUCAGUU